AAAGUUUAUGGCCAUAGGUGAGGGUAGGAACGUAGACCGACCGGUAAAUCGAGAGCUUUGCUUUUCGGCUCAGCUCUCUCUUCACCACAACGGACCGGCACAGCGGACCCAUUACUGUGGCCUUGAAAGCUGUGAGAAUGAAUUUUGUUGUGUCCCAGUUGGAGCUGUGGAAACGUUUUGAUCCUAAGAGGCAUUUUACUGUAGUGACUGUUGAAACAAGUUAAAACAGAACCAUGUCUGAUCUGUAUCUGAUCUCAGAUGAAGAAGGAAGCAGAAGGUGCCUGAUUCAGUUGAGUGUAGCAUCAUGGAGAGUGAUGCAGCGUAAAGCUUUUAUUUCAUUAGAAAAACCGCAGAGAACCAAGAACUGUGCCCUGGAGAACACCAAAGGUCAGACUGACAAAAGACACAAAAUUCGGUUUGACAACUAAAUAUUACAUUUUAUUCAUUAUUUACAAAGUGACCAAGCUUUGUAGGUGACUUCCCUCAAACAUCUAAUCAGAGCUGAAGUUGAACUGUUGCCACAGUUUGUUAAACUGAACUUUGGUCCAAAAAAGUUCUUUCUGAGUUGAAGGAAACCUGCUGAAAUUUAGAGGAAGAGGAGCUGAGAUGUUCAGGGAGGAGCUGAGAUGUUACUGAACUCUAGAAGAUACUCAAACUUCCUCAUUCAACACAGUUCAACACACAAACAUCUACUCUGCUCAACAUGCUGUCUUUACUCACAUCUGGAUUUAUUCUGCUGGUUCUGCUCAUUAGAACAGGUGUAAACUGUCAACAUCUCACUGCAAUGAAGACUGAGGAGUCCAGUUUAGAGGGCGGUUCUGUUACUCUGUCCUACAAUUACUCUCAAACUGCUGUUUAUAGUGAUUAUUUCUUCUGGUACCGCCAGUAUCCUGGAAAACCUCCAGAGCUACUGAUCUCUCACUCAGGAACAGGAAGCAAACUCCAGGAUCCAGUUCCUGGUUUCUCCUUUAAAGUGAGAGAUGAAAACAUCCAGAUGGACCUGCAGAUCAUCUCUGCUGCAGUGACAGAUUCUGCUGUGUACUACUGUGCUGUGAGGCCCACAGUGACAGGAAACACCAGAACUCUGUACAAGAACCUGCAAUACUCCACAUCAUCCACUAGAGGACCUCACACACUGUUAAACCACUGAUUGUUGAGUCUUUGGACUGAUGACAAAGACAACAGAGACAUGAAGCAGUAAAGAUCAGAGACAGAGCUGCUGUGGAAGCAGAAAACUCUGUGAUUGGUUGAGUUGAA
This is a non-coding RNA of Girardinichthys multiradiatus, 1257 nucleotides long. Lineage: Eukaryota; Metazoa; Chordata; Actinopteri; Cyprinodontiformes; Goodeidae. The record is from the annotation of a RefSeq genome assembly.